Molecule: ribosomal RNA, 771 nt
Filed under: uncultured Thermotogales bacterium
Lineage: Bacteria; Thermotogati; Thermotogota; Thermotogae; Thermotogales
Description: bacterial SSU rRNA
Rfam family: Bacterial small subunit ribosomal RNA
Source: RNAcentral
GAUAUCGGGGGGAACACCGGAGGAGAAGGCGGCCUCGUGGGGCGCACCUGACGCUGAGGCCCGAAGGCUGGGGGAGCAAAGGGGAUUAGAUACCCCCUGUAGUCCCAGCAGUAAACGAUGUGGGCUAGCGGUCUGGUCUUGAGGCUGGGUCGCGAAGGGAAACCGAUAAGCCCACCGCCUGGGGAGUACGCCCGCAAGGGUGAAACUCAAAGGAAUAGACGGGAGCCCGCACAAGCGGCGGAGCGCGUGGUUUAAUUCGAUGCUGACCGAAGAACCUCACCCGGGCUUGACAUCCCGCCGUCAAGCCUGCCCGAAAGGGUAGGUGAGCCUACCGAUGAGGUAGGCAGGCGGGACAGGAGCUGCACGGCUGUCGUCAGCUCGUGUCGUGAGAUGUUGGGUUAAGUCCCGCAACGAGCGCAACCCCUGCCCAUAGUUGCCAGCGGGUCGCCCACGUAGGUGGGCGAUGCUGGGGACUCUAUGGGGACUGCCGGCGAGGAGCCGGAGGAAGGAGGGGACGACGUCAAGUCCGUGUGGCCCUUAUGUCCGGGGCUACACACGCGCUACAAUGGGCGGUACAGAGGGAAGCGACCCUGAGAGGGGGAGCAAAUCCCUAAAACCGCCCCCAGUUCGGAUUGCAGGCUGAAACCCGCCUGCAUGAAGGAGGAGUCGCUAGUAAUCACCUAUCAGCUAUGGGGUGGUGAAUAUGUUCCCGGGCUCUGUACUCACCGCCCGUCACGCCAUGGGAGCCGGGGGUGCCUGAAGCCCCACCGA